CGGCGGACGGGUGAGUAACGCGUGGGUAACCUGCCUCAUACAGGGGGAUAACAGUUGGAAACGGCUGCUAAUACCGCAUAAGCGCACAGUACCGCAUGGUACGGUGUGAAAAACUCCGGUGGUGUGAGAUGGACCCGCGUCUGAUUAGCUAGUUGGCAGGGUAACGGCCUACCAAGGCGACGAUCAGUAGCCGACCUGAGAGGGUGACCGGCCACAUUGGGACUGAGACACGGCCCAA
RNAcentral lists this ribosomal RNA (238 nucleotides) under uncultured bacterium. RNAcentral's name for it is "partial 16S ribosomal RNA". It matches the Rfam family "Bacterial small subunit ribosomal RNA", at positions 96 to 334 of the family's 1533-position model. The record is from RNAcentral.